CGACGAUCUCAGGGAAAGAUGGAAGCACCGGUGAUGACGGCCGGGGCCGGGUGUAGUUACCAACGUACUCCACGAUUCCUGUGGUGGGGAUGUAAAUAUGCGACAACGGGGUGGAGUAUACUCUGGCGGCCAUGUAAUAACGGCUGGGCGGCUGGUUGGCUUCCAGAAGGAAAUCUAUGGUCUGGCCGGGGUGAUCGCGAUGUGAUCGGUGUUCAGCGGCUUCGUGUAGGCGCCGUCCACGCCCACCACCGUCACAUUGUGGUCCUUGAUUUUCAAGUACAUAAUGAAGUUCAUCAUUGCGUUAACCAUUCUGAUCAGGGAUACAGGUCGCCAGGUUGACCAUUCAUGAGGAAAGCAUCAGGCAAUUUGGCACCGGCUCCUUGGGCUAGAAAAUCCUCGUAAACUUGUUGCACAUCAUCAUUCCACCACUCUCCUGCAUGCAACAUUAAUUAAUAGAAUUCCAACACAAUUAAUAUUGGUCGAGAAUUUUAAUACCUAGUAAGAUAGGAACUUGAGCAUGAGGCUUAGGGAAAGGAUAAGUGUGUGUCUUGGGCGGUAGAAUGAUGAUGGCGCCAUGCACAGUAGCUCGAGUCCAAUCGAUGUGGGCGUGCCAAAACAAAGUGCCUUCUUCGUCGGAGAGCAGAAUUCGUUGUCGAAAGCUUUUGCCGGGAGUAAUAGGACACUGCGUGACAGCGUCGACGCCAUCUGUCCAUGGAUAUCUCGGCAUUUUUACUCCAUGCCUGAAAUCGAUCGCCAUUUAUAUAUGCUUAUAUAUGAUGAUAUAUGAUCAGUUUCAUGCAAAUGCUUUUAAUUUGACGUACCAAUGGAUAGUUAUAUUUGCAUCGGAACGAUUAAUAACAUCGACUACCACCAAUUCUCCCCUUCGAGCAUAUAUAGUUGGCCCUGGGAACUGCCCGUUUACCGUUAGCAUGCUUUUGGUGGUGCAUAGCCUGGUGUGUGAAGAUCUUCUCACCUGCAAACUUACACUUCCAAUUAGCUACCUUUUCUAUAAAUAAAAAACAAAAUCAAUUAAUUAAUAUUAUUA
Salvia miltiorrhiza (redroot sage) is the source of this 1045-nucleotide long non-coding RNA. RefSeq lists it as uncharacterized. Lineage: Eukaryota; Viridiplantae; Streptophyta; Magnoliopsida; Lamiales; Lamiaceae. The transcript is spliced from 2 exons. The record is from RefSeq and is a predicted model, not a curated record.